Molecule: long non-coding RNA, 253 nt
Organism: Stylophora pistillata
Lineage: Eukaryota; Metazoa; Cnidaria; Anthozoa; Scleractinia; Pocilloporidae
Source: RefSeq, a predicted model, not a curated record
CCUUCAAGUUCCACUUGACUCCCUUUCCAGUGAUACCCCUGGAUGAGCCGGUGAAUGCCACUCUCACUUUUACAGCAGCUGUUGACGUAUUUGAUUACACUUUAAGUUUGAUGGCGACUCAUCAAAAUGGGACACCCUUUGGGAAAUGGUCUCACAUGGCCAACUGCACACCAAAGAAAUUUUUUUGCAAUUUGGCGGCUGGUGAGACCUAUACAGAGAGUUUUGAUGGCUACAUUCCAAUUUUAUCAAUUGG